This 434-nucleotide long non-coding RNA is filed under the name Lepisosteus oculatus (spotted gar). RNAcentral describes it as "lncRNA (ENSLOCG00000023250.1)". Lineage: Eukaryota; Metazoa; Chordata; Actinopteri; Semionotiformes; Lepisosteidae. The record is from RNAcentral.
GUUUAUUCUAAUUAAAAACAAAUACUUAAUAUGUGCUGUGCUGCACUUUUUUCCAAAUAAUUUGAUUUUUUUAUGCUCAAACUAGUGGAAAACAAAUAGCAGAACAUAAAUAUAUGAUUUGAGACAUCAAUAUGGAUUAUGCAUGAACAGUACAAAGCCAUGAUCAAAGAACCAUGAUUCUGCCUCGAUACGGAAUUUGUGGAGAAUUGAAAGGGUACCAGGAGGUGUGCAUCAAUAGGGCAGCUGUGUUUAGGGCACCUUUUGUCAACAUUUGUGACAGGCUAUCAAAAAGAAAAUACUGUAUUUGCUCUAUGACCUGGUAAGUAUGGCCACGCAGCUGUGUGUUUUCGGGAUGUGAUAUCAACCAGUUCAACCAGUGAACCAACCAGGCUUGAGAAAAUAUUUCAUUGUCAUAGCCACAGACAUAGUGGGAA